GGAGAGGUACCCGAAGUGGCCCAACGGGGUCCGGGUGUCGACUCGGACGGGUUUUACCCGCGCAGGUUCGAAUCCUGCCCUCUCCG
This 86-nucleotide transfer RNA is filed under the name Streptomyces sp. Rer75. RNAcentral's name for it is "tRNA-Asp". It matches the Rfam family "tRNA". Rfam says of the family: Transfer RNA (tRNA) molecules are approximately 80 nucleotides in length. Their secondary structure includes four short double-helical elements and three loops (D, anti-codon, and T loops). The record is from RNAcentral. Lineage: Bacteria; Bacillati; Actinomycetota; Actinomycetes; Kitasatosporales; Streptomycetaceae.